GACGAACGCUGGCAGCGUGCCUAAUACAUGCAAGUAGAACGCUGAAGAGAGGAGCUUGCUCUUCUUGGAUGAGUUGCGAACGGGUGAGUAACGCGUAGGUAACCUGCCUUGUAGCGGGGGAUAACUAUUGGAAACGAUAGCUAAUACCGCAUAACAAUGGAUGACACAUGUCAUUUAUUUGAAAGGGGCAAUUGCUCCACUACAAGAUGGACCUGCGUUGUAUUAGCUAGUAGGUGAGGUAAUGGCUCACCUAGGCGACGAUACAUAGCCGACCUGAGAGGGCGAUCGGCCACACUGGGACUGAGACACGGCCCAGACUCCUACGGGAGGCAGCAGUAGGGAAUCUUCGGCAAUGGGGGCAACCCUGACCGAGCAACGCCGCGUGAGUGAAGAAGGUUUUCGGAUCGUAAAGCUCUGUUGUAAGUCAAGAACGGGUGUGAGAGUGGAAAGUUCACACUGUGACGGUAGCUUACCAGAAAGGGACGGCUAACUACGUGCCAGCAGCCGCGGUAAUACGUAGGUCCCGAGCGUUGUCCGGAUUUAUUGGGCGUAAAGCGAGCGCAAGCGGUUUGAUAAGUCUGAAGUUAAAGGCUGUGGCUCAACCAUAGUUCGCUUUGGAAACUGUCAAACUUGAGUGCAGAAGGGGAGAGUGGAAUUCCAUGUGUAGCGGUGAAAUGCGUAGAUAUAUGGAGGAACACCGGUGGCGAAGCGGCUCUCUGGUCUGUAACUGACGCUGAGGCUCGAAAGCGUGGGGAGCGAACAGGAUUAGAUACCCUGGUAGUCCACGCCGUAAACGAUGAGUGCUAGGUGUUGGAUCCUUUCCGGGAUUCAGUGCCGCAGCUAACGCAUUAAGCACUCCGCCUGGGGAGUACGACCGCAAGGUUGAAACUCAAAGGAAUUGACGGGGGCCCGCACAAGCGGUGGAGCAUGUGGUUUAAUUCGAAGCAACGCGAAGAACCUUACCAGGUCUUGACAUCCCGAUGCUAUUUCUAGAGAUAGAAAGUUACUUCGGUACAUCGGUGACAGGUGGUGCAUGGUUGUCGUCAGCUCGUGUCGUGAGAUGUUGGGUUAAGUCCCGCAACGAGCGCAACCCCUAUUGUUAGUUGCCAUCAUUCAGUUGGGCACUCUAGCGAGACUGCCGGUAAUAAACCGGAGGAAGGUGGGGAUGACGUCAAAUCAUCAUGCCCCUUAUGACCUGGGCUACACACGUGCUACAAUGGUUGGUACAACGAGUUGCGAGUCGGUGACGGCGAGCUAAUCUCUUAAAGCCAAUCUCAGUUCGGAUUGUAGGCUGCAACUCGCCUACAUGAAGUCGGAAUCGCUAGUAAUCGCGGAUCAGCACGCCGCGGUGAAUACGUUCCCGGGCCU
RNAcentral lists this ribosomal RNA (1368 nucleotides) under uncultured bacterium. RNAcentral describes it as "bacterial SSU rRNA". It matches the Rfam family "Bacterial small subunit ribosomal RNA", at positions 28 to 1381 of the family's 1533-position model. The record is from RNAcentral.